GGGGUCUCUGGGCUCCGGGAGAUGGCUGGCAAGGUCCGGCGCGACGAGAUGAGUCUCCCUGUGGCCUCGGUUCGCUUCGGGGGCGCCGGAGUUGAGCUCUAGCUCCUCAGAACGACGGCGAGCGGCGCGCUUCGGUUCGACGAUGAUGGCGACUCUACGGGGUGUAAAACGAAGAAGUAGUCGUGUCAAAACGUGUGCAAUGGAAAGAUGAAGUAUAGGGGGUUGGGUUUAGGUCUAGGUCUCACCUUGUUGCCGGCAGUGACCAAAAAUGGGCGGCGCCCGUGGCGAACUCUUGCGAGAGAUUUCGGCAGCCUGGGGGCGCAAUAGGGAAGGCAACUAGAGGGGAAAGAGAGAGGAGGGUGCGGGCUUUAUAGAGACGCAAAAGGCAACUCGCGGGGAGCACGGGAUUGAUGGCAGCGGCGGUGAUGGCGCUCGCGGAUCCGGCGCGGGGCGGAGAUUCCGGCGGUGAUUGAGGAAGGAGACGACUGACAGGUGGGGUCCCCUGUCAGCGGCUGCGGUCGGGUGCGGGUAAGUAGGCCGGUUCGGCCCAAGACGGCCGGGCCGGUCUGGUUCUCUUUUUUUUUGUUCUUUUCUUUUCCCUUUUUCUUUUUCUGUUUUUCCUCUAUUACUUUUGAUUUUUAACUCCAAAUCUAACCAAAUAAAUUCCAGAAAAGUUCUAAAAUCAUAUAUUUAUAUGAUACAACUUCUGGGAAUGAUUUCCCCUCAAAAUAAAAUAUUUAAAAUAGUUUUGCUUAUAAGAUUACCUUUAGGGCUUUAUAAAUAAUAAACAAAAUAGUUUUUCUACUCAAAUUUAAACACCAAAAUAUGGGGUAGCUUAAUAAUGCAAUAAACCCAUUUUAUUAUCAAACCACAUUGGAUUGAAACACAAAUUGCAAAAAGAGAAGAUAAGAUGCAACGAUCAAAUAGAAAAAGAUUUGCUUUUGAGAUUUUGAAUUCAAAACUUAAAAUAUGUUUAAAAUGCACAAGUGGCAUGAUGCUCAUGAAUGCAAAUGCAUGAUGCAAAGUUUGAAAAUUUUGGG
RNAcentral lists this long non-coding RNA (1040 nucleotides) under Brachypodium distachyon (stiff brome). RNAcentral describes it as "long non-coding RNA (BDIS_LNC000442)". The record is from RNAcentral. Lineage: Eukaryota; Viridiplantae; Streptophyta; Magnoliopsida; Poales; Poaceae.